This 45-nucleotide non-coding RNA is filed under the name Schistosoma curassoni. The record is from RNAcentral. Lineage: Eukaryota; Metazoa; Platyhelminthes; Trematoda; Strigeidida; Schistosomatidae.
GUCUAGCUGACGACUCCAAAAUAGAACAAAACUCGUGUCCUGGAU